GGAUAGGAGUGCACAACAUCUGCCACUUGCAUUGAUUGCCAGGGUUGAUUAGGGUGAUCUGGCUAGCUAGAUAGGUGUUUUCUUCCUCAUUCAUCUUUCCACAUGUGUCCAUUUGGAAGCUGAAUGCCUAGUCCUGGAGAACCAGUCUUCAGUCCAGAGCAUAAGUAUAUCUGCAUUCUCCUGCUAGAUCCUUCAGACUCUACAGAUGUUAUUUGUAGGAGAACAUGAGGCAGUCAAGUUUCCAAGAAUUCAGACAAAUUUGAAUGUCUAUGCCGCACAUGGCAAUCUGCUUC
Molecule: unclassified non-coding RNA, 293 nt
Organism: Dipodomys ordii (Ord's kangaroo rat)
Lineage: Eukaryota; Metazoa; Chordata; Mammalia; Rodentia; Heteromyidae
Gene: 7SK
Rfam family: 7SK RNA
About the family: 7SK was discovered as an abundant small nuclear RNA in the mid-70s but a possible function has only recently been suggested. Two independent studies have found that 7SK RNA binds the CDK9/cyclin T complex (known as elongation factor P-TEFb).
Source: Ensembl